CUGCAGCUAAUUAAGCUGACUAGGUUGCUCUUCCAUGGGGGCCUGGUGUGCAAAGCCAUAAACAGCAGCUUCUUCUGUAAGUAUAUAGCCUGUUGCAUGUAUGAGUUACCAUCAGAGGCUUGGGCCAGUC
This is a small nucleolar RNA of Onychomys torridus (southern grasshopper mouse), 130 nucleotides long. RefSeq annotates it as small nucleolar RNA SNORA70. NCBI's taxonomy places the organism in Eukaryota, Metazoa, Chordata, Mammalia, Rodentia, Cricetidae. The record is from RefSeq and is a predicted model, not a curated record. The transcript has a single exon.